AUGGUAAAUAAUAUGUACAUCGAGGGAAAUGUAGCCAGAGCUUCUAUGUCAGAUUGGCUUGUUCCCUUUUCUGUCCUUUCCUUUAUAGACUCUGAGCCCCUUCAGGUAUUACUUUCUGUACCCACAACUCUAAUAUCUAUAUUGAUCCUGAUAUAUGUCAUGCUGACCUUAAUGGGUAAUAAUUACACCUUCUGUCCAGACAGAAACUGUAAACAAAAUGUCAGUGUCAUGAUCUCACAUGCUUGUAGAAUAAUUAACAAUUAUACUUUGUGCCUGAUGGAAACCCUCCUCUGGAACUACUGCAUGAGAGCAGAACACUUGAAUGCUAGACCAGAUUUCCUGAGACCAGCCACUGGACAUCUUCCUAAAGAAGCAAUGGAACAAAUCCUUCCAGGGCCUUGUAUUUGGGGAAAGUUAAUCCUAUUGUGACUCCUUGGUGUGGCUGUUUUAGCAGGACAUGGAGCUGACACAACGGAGGAGGGAGCUCUGUGAGCCCGUCUAGGUGAGUGUGUGUCUCAUGUGGAAUGGGAGCUGGGCUCAGAGCAGGGGUUCCCAGGCUCACUGAGUAGACACAAGGGAACUCUUGGCUAUGGGAAGACCUCAAUUGAUAAUUUUCAAAUGACUACCGGAUUUUCCAUCAAAACUGACAAAUAUUUGAUGUCUUGGGGAAGGAUUGAGGGUGGGACAGAAAUUCUUGGUCAGAGAUGGCACUAGAAGCUGCCUGAUCUGGAACAGUUCCAUCCAAAAAUACAGGUGCUAUAUUCUCAACCAGAAAAUAGAUUUUGAAUUCCCACUCUACUGCUAAUGUCUGUUUGAGUGACUAUUCCUCAUGUUAUUUUUCUU
This 843-nucleotide long non-coding RNA is filed under the name Oryctolagus cuniculus (rabbit). RNAcentral describes it as "lncRNA (ENSOCUG00000038076.1)". Lineage: Eukaryota; Metazoa; Chordata; Mammalia; Lagomorpha; Leporidae. The record is from RNAcentral.